This 468-nucleotide ribosomal RNA is filed under the name uncultured bacterium. RNAcentral describes it as "partial 16S ribosomal RNA". It matches the Rfam family "Bacterial small subunit ribosomal RNA", at positions 28 to 507 of the family's 1533-position model. The record is from RNAcentral.
GACGAACGCUGGCGGCGUGCUUAACACAUGCAAGUCGAACGGAAAGGCCCUGCUUUUGUGGGGUGCUCGAGUGGCGAACGGGUGAGUAACACGUGAGUAACCUGCCCUUGACUUUGGGAUAACUUCAGGAAACUGGGGCUAAUACCUGAUAGGAGCUCCUGCUUCAUGGUGGGGGUUGGAAAGUUUCGGCGGUUGGGGAUGGACUCGCGGCUUAUCAGCUUGUUGGUGGGGUAGUGGCUUACCAAGGCUUUGACGGGUAGCCGGCCUGAGAGGGUGACCGGCCACAUUGGGACUGAGAUACGGCCCAGACUCCUACGGCAGGCAGCAGUGGGGAAUAUUGCACAAUGGGCGGAAGCCUGAUGCAGCAACGCCGCGUGCGGGAUGACGGCCUUCGGGUUGUAAACCGCUUUCGCCUGUGACGAAGCGUGAGUGACGGUAAUGGGUAAAGAAGCACCGGCUAACUACGUG